Molecule: ribosomal RNA, 274 nt
Filed under: uncultured bacterium
Lineage: Bacteria
Description: partial 16S ribosomal RNA
Rfam family: Bacterial small subunit ribosomal RNA
Source: RNAcentral
AUACGGAGGGUCCGAGCGUUAUCCGGAAUCAUUGGGUUUAAAGGGUCCGUAGGCGGGAAUCUAAGUCAGUGGUGAAAUCUUGCAGCUCAACUGUAAAAUUGCCAUUGAUACUGGAUUUCUUGAAUUAGUGUGAAGUGGUUAGAAUGUGUAGUGUAGCGGUGAAAUGCAUAGAUAUUACACAGAAUACCAAUUGCGAAGGCAGAUCACUAACACUAUAUUGACGCUCAGGGACGAAAGCGUGGGGAGCGAACAGGAUUAGAAACCCUAGUAGUCC